AGUGAACGCUGGCGGUAGGCCUAACACAUGCAAGCCGAACGGCAGCACAGUAAGAGCUUGCUCUUACGGGUGGCGAGUGGCGGACGGGUGAGGAAUACAUCGGAAUCUACUUUUUCGUGGGGGAUAACGUAGGGAAACUUACGCUAAUACCGCAUACGACCUACGGGUGAAAGCAGGGGAUCUUCGGACCUUGCGCGAUUGAAUGAGCCGAUGUCGGAUUAGCUAGUUGGCGGGGUAAAGGUCCACCAAGGCGACGAUCCGUAGCUGGUCUGAGAGGAUGAUCAGCCACACUGGAACUGAGACACGGCCCAGACUCCUACGGGAGGCAGCAGUGGGGAAUAUUGGACAAUGGGCGCAAGCCUGAUCCAGCCAUACCGCGUGGGUGAAGAAGGCCUUCGGGUUGUAAAGCCCUUUUGUUGGGAAAGAAAAGCAGCAGGUUAAUACCCCGCUGUUCUGACGGUACCCAAAGAAUAAGCACCGGCUAACUUCGUG
Molecule: ribosomal RNA, 492 nt
Filed under: uncultured bacterium
Lineage: Bacteria
Description: partial 16S ribosomal RNA
Rfam family: Bacterial small subunit ribosomal RNA
Source: RNAcentral